RNAcentral lists this long non-coding RNA (577 nucleotides) under Panax ginseng (ginseng). RNAcentral's name for it is "long non-coding RNA (PGIN_LNC013856)". Lineage: Eukaryota; Viridiplantae; Streptophyta; Magnoliopsida; Apiales; Araliaceae. The record is from RNAcentral.
UAGUGUGUUCCACAAAAAUCAGAAAGACAGGAAAUGGAAAGCAGCGAAUCCCUCUAAUCCUGAAAUUCCCUCAAUUUUCUAUCUAAUGACCCUACGGAUUCUGCUCUAAACCUAAUUUGGUUUCCUUUUCCUUUUAUCUUCUUGCAGAGGUAAUCUUUUACUUUAGACCUAAAAAUUUCAUUUAUCAUCCCGUUUUCUUAGACAUGUAUGUAUUAUGAUUGUAUUUAUCUGUAUGUGACAUGUAUGUAUAAUCAAUUAUGUUUGGUUUAAUAUAAUUGGGUUCUUUUACGAUUUUACAGUUUUGAUCGAGGAUUAAUUGAAAAAAUGAAUCCAAUUUACCUUUUUCCUAGAGGGUCUGCUUUUUUUUUUUUUCUUUUUUUUUUUUGUGUGUGUUUUUGAGGAAAUUGUUUUACCCAGAAUUUGUAUAUUAAAUUUAAUGUUUUUCUGGUUAUUAUAAAGUGUAAAUGUUUUAGUGUUCUUUAUUUUUAAUAAAUUUAGGCUUGAGACUUAGAAUUGAACUAUUUGGUUCAGACCUUAGAUAGAUUAUUGUAGAAUGAGAUUUGAAACUUUCAAAAUG